GCUGCUAUAGCUCAGGGGUAGGGCACUCCGUUGGUAAGGUAGAGGCCGAGAGUUCAAAUCUCUCUAGCAGCACCA
RNAcentral lists this transfer RNA (75 nucleotides) under Hyphomicrobiales bacterium. Its description in RNAcentral is "Rhizobiales bacterium (bioreactor metagenome) tRNA-Thr". It matches the Rfam family "tRNA". From Rfam's summary of the family: Transfer RNA (tRNA) molecules are approximately 80 nucleotides in length. Their secondary structure includes four short double-helical elements and three loops (D, anti-codon, and T loops). Lineage: Bacteria; Pseudomonadati; Pseudomonadota; Alphaproteobacteria; Hyphomicrobiales. The record is from RNAcentral.